This is a long non-coding RNA of Gorilla gorilla gorilla (western lowland gorilla), 2010 nucleotides long. RefSeq lists it as uncharacterized. The record is from RefSeq and is a predicted model, not a curated record. Lineage: Eukaryota; Metazoa; Chordata; Mammalia; Primates; Hominidae. The transcript has 3 exons.
GACACAAUUUAUCUCAAACUCUUCAACUUCUUGCUCUUUGGUUCUAGAAUUUCUUUUUCAGUUCUGACCUCCCCACAUGUGUCUGAUGUUGGAAUUCUCAUCGCUGGCCUCUGCUUUCAUUUACAUCUAGUGAGAACUAGACCAGGUUUUCAGCUUUCUGCUUUCAUCAUUCGUUUUGUUCAUUAGGUCCUUUUCCUUUCUUUGGAACCAAAAUGGUCCAGGAUGCUCACCAAGGCUUCUCCCCCUUGUUAUCUCUAGUAGUCACCCUUUAAGAUGAGGCUGCCAUCUAAGGGAUUCCCACAGUUCUCUCUGGCUCUUGUAACCAAGUCAGGGACUCAGGGACUCAGGGACUCCAAAAUCUGUCUCCUAGCUUCUUAUGGGGCAGACAUUCUUAUUUCUUCCCUCAGAUCCACAAGGGUAUACCAAUUGGAAGCCAUGCUGGUAUUAUAUGAACCACCCUUCCUGAUCUUAAGUCUGGAAUCAUUUCUUCAUAAUGACAUUUUCUCCUUUUAUUGGAGAAUGUUAGAAACCACGAUCAAGAGCUUGAUGUGCUUGUUGAUACUGGAGUGUCAUUGAUUCUUGGCCCUGUCAACUGACCAGAUCAAGGAACUACAUGUGUAUAAGCUAAGUUGUUCUUUGAUGAAGAGAAGAAAAUGUUCAAAGACUCUAUCUGGACAGCAGAGCAGUGCACAGCUGUGAUGUUUCUUUUUUCUCUGCCUUGACCUUACUCUGAAGAAAGUACUCCUUUAGGCUCAAACUCCUGAAAUUGACUGAAGUAUCUCUUAGGGAAUGCUUUGGUCAUAACAGAUUUUUUAAAAAACUUAUUUAAAUUCCAUUCCAGGUGCAGCCUCCCUUUACUUUAUAGGUUAAAGCGCAAAAUAUCACUGGGAAAGGGAAAAGGAUCAUGAAUAUUUAAAGUUUAUCAUAAAUGAGAAGUCUGUGAACAAAGCCUGCCCAUGAGGCUGAGUUUUGUCUUACAUCAUCUCUUGAAAUCCCUCUGAAAAAAGAGUAUGCACUAGACAAUUGCACCAACAUAGGGAAAGCAAAGGCAUGUCUCACUAUCACCCUGAGAAAUGCCAACACCUAUGGUCUUGAUCAUUUUUAGACAUUUUUCCUUUAAGUCACAUAGGCCUUAUGGCUCACACAACAGAGAAAUUAUUCUUAAGUCAAUUAUAAUUGAUUGUUGUUGUCAUCUUUUUAAAGGAAUUUUGAAAUUAAGAAAAUAUAUGAGAAAAAUAUUUGUUAGAUGAAGAGAAGAAAAAGCAACUAUCUGGCAUAAAAUGACUGACUUCCAAGGUUAAUAUUUCACUGGAAAAAACACCAGUAAUCUUUGAAUGAAUGAUGUGUAUAAUAACAGUAUUAAAUAUUCACUUACCUAUUGAACAAACAUUAAAAUGUGCUAUAUACAAGACACUGCAAAAUGCCAAGUGAAUUUACAAAUUUGGCCCAAAUUUGCUAUAGACACAAUGCCAACCACCAAUCAGAAUAUAAACCAUAAAACAAUGCUAUUUGAUGAAAUUAUAUAAACCCUAUCCUAUAGCUUUAAAUGUAAACAAAACAACUCCCUCCAUUUUCAAGUAUGUCUUAAACCUCCAUUGCUUUUACCUGCUACAUAACACACCAAAUCAUGGCGUACACUGGUGCAUAAAUGAUAUGUAGUCCAUAACCUUUACCAUCAUUGAAAAAAUAGUGUCCCUCCACUAAUUAAUUCAUUUAUUAUCAAACAUUGCGAUUCUACUAUAUGCAAGGACGAUCUAUGUAAUACACACUAACUUCAAUGUAUUCCAUAUUGUUGGGUUAUUGAGUCUGAGGGAUUAGCAGAUUUAUUUGUAAAGGACUAGGCAGUAAAUAUUUUAGACAUUGGGGGCCACAUAUAUAUCUCUUGCUGCUGCUUUUUAAAAUUUAUAUUAUUUUUAACUGCCAAACCAUAAUAUAUUACAUUUAUGGAGUACAAUGUGAUAUUUUGGUAUGUAUAUGUAAUGUGGAAUGAUUAAAUCAAGCUAAUUAAUA